This 23-nucleotide non-coding RNA is filed under the name Drosophila melanogaster (fruit fly). The record is from RNAcentral. Lineage: Eukaryota; Metazoa; Arthropoda; Insecta; Diptera; Drosophilidae.
UGAUCAAGUGGCGAGAUUUGCUU